UCGCGGCCUAUCAGCUUGUUGGUGAGGUAAUGGCUCACCAAGGCGACGACGGGUAGCCGGCCUGAGAGGGCGACCGGCCACACUGGGACUGAGACACGGCCCAGACUCCUACGGGAGGCAGCAGUGGGGAAUAUUGCACAAUGGGCGAAAGCCUGACGCAGCGACGCCGCGUGGGGGAUGACGGCCUUCGGGUUGUAAACCUCUUUCAGCAGGGACGAAGCGAAAGUGACGGUACCUGCAGAAGAAGCACCGGCCAACUACGUGCCAGCAGCCGCGGUAAUACGUAGGGUGCAAGCGUUGUCCGGAAUUAUUGGGCGUAAAGAGCUUGUAGGCGGUUUGUCGCGUCUGCCGUGAAAAUCCGGGGCUCAACUCCGGACUUGCGGUGGGUACGGGCAGACUAGAGUGUGGUAGGGGAGACUGGAAUUCCUGGUGUAGCGGUGAAAUGCGCAGAUAUCAGGAGGAACACCGAUGGCGAAGGCAGGUCUCUGGGCAGUAACUGACGCUGAGGAGCGAAAGCGUGGGGAGCGAACAGGAUUAGAUACCCUGGUAGUCCACGCCGUAAACGGUGGGUACUAGAUGUGGGAUUCCUUCCUUGGGUUCCGUGUCGUAGCUAACGCAUUAAGUACCCCGCCUGGGGAGUACGG
This 644-nucleotide ribosomal RNA is filed under the name uncultured Actinomycetes bacterium. RNAcentral's name for it is "bacterial SSU rRNA". It matches the Rfam family "Bacterial small subunit ribosomal RNA", at positions 231 to 885 of the family's 1533-position model. The record is from RNAcentral. Lineage: Bacteria; Bacillati; Actinomycetota; Actinomycetes.